Molecule: long non-coding RNA, 7504 nt
Filed under: Lactuca sativa (garden lettuce)
Lineage: Eukaryota; Viridiplantae; Streptophyta; Magnoliopsida; Asterales; Asteraceae
Description: long non-coding RNA (LSAT_LNC006442)
Source: RNAcentral
GCUAUUUCUUUCUCCUUCUUGUGCGUUUUCUGAUCAGAUUGAGGCCGCCAAUGACCACCUCGCCAUUAGAACGCUAUUGCGACACUGCCGCUGGUCGGAGACGUUGUUAACAGCUCGAAGAGCCACCGAGAUAGGUGACAUUCGCCGUUUUUGCUGCUGAGAGGGUCAUGCGUGACCUGAGGGUUCUCGGUAGGUAUCGUAACCUGCCACUUCUUCCUUCCUCUCACCUGAUCGGCGAUGUAACUACCACCGGUGGCCCUUGGCCACUGAUCUCGUCAUUUCCCGCGAUGUAGCCACCUGAAAGGUAGCCGGAUGUUUAUGGGUUCCAAUUUACAACCUGUUUAUUAUGGUCUUGAAGUUGUGGGCGUGAUGUAUGGCUGGGAUGUUUGGUAUAAACUAGUAUUUUCGUGGGUGUUGUAGAUGUUGUUUGAUGACCGGAAAAUGGAGAAAGAACCCACCAUGGCCGCCAGCCAUGGUGGCUGCCGCCAAGCUCAGCUACCGGCCGCCAUGGUGUGUGUAUGAUUAGUUUGUGAGUGUGUGUGAUUAGUUUAGUAUGUGUGUGUAUAUGGUUAAUUGAGAUUAGCUUUGUAAAAUGUAACUUCAAUUUUGGAUUAAUGAAAAGAAUCAAAACCACCACCAUAAGGUGGUGGCCGCCGCCGUGAGCCGCCAUGGACCACCACUACCCUAGGUGGUAGUGGGUGGUGCCCCGCUAGCAAACCCUAAUGGGCCUAGAGAUUGGUUUUGGGCCUUUUGGGUCAUGUUUGGGUGGAAAACCCUAAUUGUGAGUUUUGGGCCUUAGACUAAUUGGGCCACUUGUGGGCCAUUGGGAUUGGAUUGUGAAUUAAGCCCAAACUAUUCCAUGCCAUUUAUCUAGUGGAUUAAAGGACUUAAUGGAUUAAGUCCUUAAUGGGCUAAUUGAGAAAAUACUAAUAUUUGAGAGAUUAUCAGCACACGUGGGAAUUAUUUAAUAAGUGAAUAUUAAAUAAUAAUCAUUGGCAUAAAUUAAUCUAAGUAAUAAUGGACUUAAUGGAUUAAGUCCCUAGUGUGUUAAGUCCUUAGUGGGUUAAGAAACACUUAACCCUAGUUAUCAUUUGAUGUGAAACCCUAAUUUCACUUGGGCUUUGUGUUGGGCCAUCCGAGAAUAAUCAAAUGGACUAGAGUAAUUAGUUGGGCUUUAGGGUAAGGCCUAUAUGAAGGAUUGGGCCUAAUUUGGAAAAUUGGGCCAUAGAUGGGCCAUAGUUGGGGCCUAGAUGGUUGUAUGAUAUUGGGCCUUAGAAUGAUACAUGUUGGACUGGACUGAUCAAUUGGGCCUUAAGGGAAGUCCAUGUAGAGGUUUGGGCCCAAUUUGGAAAAUUGGGCCAUAUGUUGGGCUUUGAUCCCUAGUUGACUUUGGGCCUAUGGAUUGGGCCUUGGGCUUGGGUAAGCCAAGCUAGGGGUAAUGUAGUAAUUAUCCAAAGCAUGUAUUUUUAGUUAUGUGUUAGAACCCAAUUAUUAAUUGGGUGUUAUUUGGUGUUGACAGUUCGGGAAUCUGUCAGCCAGCAGCUGGGGUGGAGUCUGCGGGACUUCAGCAGUGUGGGAUUGUGUCUACGGGACUUCAGCAGUGUGAGGUGAGUUUCCUUCCAGUAGGAACGGGUCUAAGGCCACAAUGCCGGCCCGUUUAGUUAGCAGUAGUUUCCGGACUUCGGUCCGAUGCAGUAGUUAGUAUGUUUGAUGCCUUCGUGGCUCAGACAGGAUUUAUGUGUUAUGUGUUCCGGGCUACGGCCCGAUGCAGUAUGCAGUAUAUGUGUGUUCAUGCUAGUUGAUAUGUUUAUGUUAUGUUAUGUUCAGUUAGUUCCGGACUUCGGUCCGAUGCAGGGGACAAGGUCCCAGUUAGUUCCGGACUUCGGUCCGAUGCAGAAGGCAAGGCCCUGGUUAGUUCCGGACUCCAGUCCGAUGUAGUUUCCGGACUUCAGUCCGAUGCAGAGGGCAAGGCCCUGGUUAGUUCCGGACUCCGGUCCGAUGUAGUUUCUGGACUCGGUCCGAUGCAGAGGACAAGGCCCUGGUUAGUUUUCGGACUUCGGUCCGAUGCAGUGGGCAAGGCCCAGUAUGUGCUUUAUAUGUUAUUGUAUGGUAUGUGGUAGUUUGGGGGAGCUCACUAAGCUUCGUGCUUACGGUUUUCAGUUUUGGUUUCAGGUACUCAGUUUUCAAAAGAGGAGCUCGGGAAGAUUGCAGUGCACACACCAUAGUCAGUUAGCCUGGGAAUGUUUGACUCUGAUAAUGAUAUUAUGUUUUGAAUUAAUACUCUAAAAAUUAUGUUAUGACUUAUGAUACAGUUUUGUAAAUAUGGUUUUAGUAAUGUUUUAAAAGAAAUUUUUAGUCGUGAUUUUUGGGUCGUUACAAGUUUGUAUCAGAGCCUUGGUUUGAGGGAUUCGGGCGCACUCCCGAGUGUGUCUGAACUCAAACUAAGGAAGAGGUAUAAAGUUUUCAAGAGAAAAACCAUGGUUACAAAAGAAUUUUGAGAAAAGAAAACAAUUUUAGAAAAAGUAUAAAGAAAAGAGUUUUAGAAAAAGCAAAAAGAAUUUUGAAAAGAGAAAAGGGUGUGGUGCAUGCAAUCAGCCGAGCUCAAGUAAGUACUCCCAAAUUACCCAUACAAGUUUAUGAUCAUUAGUUUCAGUUUCAGUUUUAGUUCCAGUUUCAGUUUCAGUUUCAGUAGAACAGCAUGCUAGUAUAGGACUAAGGAUCUAGGAGGAUGCCUUAUGUGCCUGCUUUAUGUGUUUCAGCUUGAUAAGAAUUUCAUGCUAGUAUUGAGUAGACAGUAGUAGGAUAGCCUGUGUAGGUUAUGCCUGAUAGUAUGAGCUUAGCAUUGUAUGCUAGUACAGUUUCUUGUUAUGAGAAUAGUUUUGCCUGAGUAUGUUUCCUUUAUCCGAAUGCUGCUUGCUUUGUGCUUUGUGGGACUCUGAGUGAUGGGAGUUAGCCAUUAGGUGAAUACGUCACAUCACAUGUGAUCAGGGUUGAAUAAUCUCAGAGUGCUGGAUUUGGCCCUACUGCGCAGCUCUUGUUUGAGUCUAACCGUUGUAGGGACGAGACUUUUACUCGAAGGAUUAUCCGAGCCUCAUUGCAUGUGAUGGUAUUCAGGUGGUGGCUAAUUGGCAUUACAAGGAGGCCUUCAGCAGCUGAGGACUGGUUUGGGUGGAGUCAGAAGUUCCCUAGGGAAAGCCUAGGAAGGUAGUAGCAGAGAUCAGUAGCAGUAGAGUGACUUGGUGGAGUCGAGGCAGUUCUUGAGGAAAGUACGGAUAGAUGUGGAAGGUAGUAUGGGCCAGUACUACUGAAAGCAGAGGAUCCGUACUCGAAUCAAGGAAGGCUGAGAUGAAUCCAGGGAACUUGUAGUGUGUGAGAUCCCUCGAGAUUGGAUGAGUAUUGUAAUGUUAGUGAUGGCAUGUUGCCGAGUAUAGUGACGCUACGUGGUAGACCAGAUGGUAGUUCUGGUGUCGACAGGGGAUCAGGCUCGGACUCUGGAGCCGGGCAGAUUGAUGAUCAGAUGAGAGAGUUCAUUUCAUCUGAGAAUUUUGCGCAGUAUCACUGACCAGACUCCUGUGAUCCUCAGUGUGAUCAAGGAGGGCAUUAUGGAGAUUUGUGAUGAGAGGCCGAGUGCAUUCUGCACUGAGAUAGCAGUCAUGAUAGAGACCCGUACGUUGAUGUUUCUGGAAUUCAGAGUUUGCGAGGCUUCAGAUUGUCAUGGGGGUUAGGGACGCCAUUGUUAGCGGCAGAUGGUUGGCAGAUGUUGCCAACACUUUUCGUACCAGACGUUGUCUCGAAAGGAGACAAGAUCCGACUUACUUCCUGUCUCCUGAGGGAUAGAGCACGAGAUUGAUAGGAAGAGGUCGGUAGUGAGUUGUGUGAUGCGGUUAAUGCUAGUUCAUGGGAUGACUUUUAGACUAGCUUUUGGGCAGAGUGUGCCCAGGAGAUUGAGGCGCAGCAGUUGGCACAAUGGUUGUUAGAUCCCCACCAGAAGACUGAGACUGUGGCAGAGAUCACUGCCAAGUCUUGGGAAAGAGCUUAUAUGAAACCACAAUAUGCAGCAGAUGAGGAAAUGAAGAAGGUAAGUUAUCAGAACAUACUGUAGAAUGAUAGCAGGGAGAUUGUGAGUAUCUCGGGGUGCAAGACCCUGAAUGAUAUGCCUUCUAGAGCUCGAGAGCGGGAUAUGGACUUGGAGCACAUUGGUAAGAGGGAACCAAAUCAGUUGCUUAUAGUGAGGGGUCUCGGGAGGAGACCGUAGAUUUCAGAUUAGCUUUCGAAAGACCAGCAGGACCAGAUUCGGUGUAGCACUUGCGGGAGUAGGGAGUACAACGUCAUCUUGGUUUAUUCCAAGACUAAGGAGUAGCACGAGAAGCACCUGAGGGAGGUGCUAGAGACUUUGAGGAGGGAGAGAAUUUUCGCAAGGUUCUCUAAUUGUGAGUUCUGGUUGCGCGGGGUGCAAUUUCUUGGGCACCUUGUCAAUCAGAAGGAUAUUCUAGUCGAUCCGGCCAAGAUAUAGGUCAUGAUGUAGGGGAGAAUUCCGAGGUCUCCAACUGAGAUUCGGAGCUUCCUAGGUCUAGCGGGUUUUUACCAGAGAUUUAUUCGGAUUUUUUUAGAAGUUGAGUGAUCUUUUUGGAUUAGCUGGUGUUGAAAACACUAGAAAGGGUAAGCGUGGUUCUAGCAGAUUAGUCAUGGGUGGUAAGAAGGAUCGGGAAUCCUUUCAAGACAGUGAACUCUAAGGAGCUAGUUGAAUCGAAGUGGGGGAGGAACCCUCAUAUAGUUAGGAACGGAAGAAGGUACGAAGCUAGGAUGAGUUCGCAACUUUGUUGAGCAGGAUAGUAGUCCGAGUGGCUGAUCGGAUUGAGAAAUGCGUGAGUUGGGAGUUGGGAAACUCCCCAGUAUUAAGUGCGUGUAAUAGCGAUCAGUAGAUGAUUGGUUUGGGAAACCAUGUUGAAGAUUUUCUCGGCAGGACAUGAUAUUAGUUAGGAUGUAAGACUACGGGACAGCCGUAGCAUUCACCAGCAGGUAGACAGUACGGGAAGUGUAGCAAGGCUACAAGAUGACCAUAGUAAUCACGUUAGACGAUAGCUGGGUUGGAGGAUCGCCGACAUGAUUCGAGUAAGUCAAUAUGCAGAUUUAGUGAAGGUCCGGCUUGGGAUGCUUUCAGAUUAGUAGGCGGUGUAGAGUCAGAAUGGAGAGUGUAGCAGGACUGCGGAAUAGCCGCAGCAUUCCCUAGCAGUGAGUUAGUGAGGGAAGUGAUGUAAGUCUACGGGUGUAGCCGUAGCGUUCACUAGCAGCCAGAUAGUGUUAGAGUGUUGUAAGUCUACGGGUGUAGCCGUAGCGUUCACUAGCAGCCAGACAGUAAUAGAAUGUGGCGAUUCUGCGGGUAUAGCCGUAGCAUUCACUACGUUGGUAGAUAGCGUGAGUGCGUUGUUAGGACGUGGAAAGAACAGUAGUACCCACCAUUUCAGGUAUAGUAGUACGGAUAUGGAAAUCCAUGGAUUGGAUUUCGGAAUUUCCCAGACGGAUUAGACCUGGUUAAGCCAUUGAUAAGACUGUAGAAGCGCCACUACAGAGAAGAGAGCAGAGAAGCAGUGGACUGCUUGAGGUCAUUUAUGACAUAAGGCUACCAAUGGUCAUGUAGCAAUCACUUUUCGCUUUGGGUUUGGUGACGUCAGAACUCGAUGUAUGGACUCGAUCAGUUAGAUCAGCAAGUUAUUAGAGCCUCAGUGGCAUGGUGACUAGUGGCAAAUAGUUCUAGAGAAGGAACUUGUUCAGAAGUCGUGUGAGGCGACUAAGUAGGGAGUCCUUUGGCUCUGUAGUUGGGCUGGAACCCGAUAUUUCAGAUGAUUGGCGGAAAAUUGAGACUAGGUAGCUCUCGGUAGAUGUCAGGAAGUAGCCAUGUGGCAGCAUACAGUUCAGUGUUUCGGGCAGUUCAGCGUUCAGGUAGUUCAGUGUUCAAACAGUUCAGUGUUUCAGGCAGUUACUGCUCUUGGGCAAUGUUAGUAAUUGUGCCCUAAGUUGCAAGUACAGACAGGAUGGCUGGUUCAUUGGGAAGUGACAAGUCACUCACAGCGGAAAUAGCUGAGCUUUGGCCAAGUAUAAGUGAUCUACAGGGAUAAUUAGGUUUGGGAACCUGUUUUGUAGUGGGUAUUUUCGAGCUAGCAGAAGUUGAGUAGUCAGUUGAGAGAUAAGCAGGCUGGUUUCAUCGAUAAUAAUUUGGUAUGGGUGGUCUGUCAGGGAAUCAGACUAUCUCAAGGCAGCAAAUAUCAGACGGAAUAGAUGUGAUCUUGUCGCGAGGGUUGGUUACAGUUACCCUAGAAAGGCUAGGGUGUGCCUAGGAUGGUGAUCAGGUUACUAUAGUGGUUUGAAGUGAAAGGAAUGAUAAUGAAUGAUUUCGAGGACGAAAUCUAAUUUAAGUGGGGGAGAGUUGUAACGCCCUGUUUCUUUGAAAAAUAAAUAAAUAAAUAAAUGUGUAGAAGCCCUAAAAUGAAUAAUAAUUGAGCGAGGUGUAGUUUCGAGGAGUUAAAAGUUAUAAUUACAGAAGUCAGGGUGCGUUUGGUAAUUAAUGGACUUAAAUUGAAGAUAUUUGAAGGCUUAAGGGCUUAUUGGUAAUAAAGGGAUAUGUUAUGAAAGGAAUUUAUGGGAUCAGGGUUUAAAAGGUAAAUUUUGGAUUGAUGCUGAAAAUAAUAUGGGGAGGAGGGACCAAAAGUGUAUUUUUGGCAGGGUAGUUUGAUUUGGAGCUACGGGAUAUAUCUGAUCCCUUCAUCCUCUCGUCAAAAAGAAGGUGCAGCCAAAAAAAACCUUAACCCUAGAUCGUGUUUUCUCCAGCCGCCGCCAUGAGAGCUCCUAGGCUGCCGCUUCCCAUCGAUUUGAGCUCCACCGUUCGCAUGUUGCCUCGCCGGUGUGAGCCACGGCGACCCCCGCUACCGAAGAGUGAGUGUGAAGCCAAGUUUAGCCGCCAUUUCUUUCUCCUUCUUGUGCGUUUUCUGAUCAGAUUGAGGCCGCCAACGACCACCUCGCCAUUAAAACGCUAUUGCGACACUGCCGCUGGUCGGAGACGUUGUUAACACCUUGAAGAGCCACCGAGAUCGGUGACAUUCGCCGUUUUUGCUGCUGAGAGGGUCAUGCGUGACCUGAGGGUUCUCGGUAGGUAUCGUAACCUGCCACUUCUUCCUUCCUCUCACCUGAUCGGCGAUGUAACUGCCACCGGUGGCCCUUGGCCACUGAUCUCGUCAUUUCCCGCGAUGUAGCCACCUGAAAGGUAGCCGGAUGUUUAUGGGUUCCAAUUUACAACCUGUUUAUUAUGGUCUUGAAGUUGUGGGCGUGAUGUAUGGCUGGGAUGUUUGGUAUAAACUAGUAUUUUCGUGGGUGUUGUAGAUGUUGUUUGAUGACCGGAAAAUGGAGGAAGAACCCACCAUGGCCGCCAGCCAUGGUGGCUGCCGCCAAGCUCAGCUACCGGCCGCCAUGGUGUGUGUGUGAUUAGUUUGUGAGUGUGUGUGAUUAGUUU